AGCGAACGCUGGCGGCAGGCUUAACACAUGCAAGUCGAGCGGGCGUAGCAAUACGUCAGCGGCAGACGGGUGAGUAACGCGUGGGAACAUACCUUUUGGUUCGGAACAACACAGGGAAACUUGUGCUAAUACCGGAUAAGCCCUUACGGGAAAGAUUUAUCGCCGAAAGAUUGGCCCGCGUCUGAUUAGCUAGUUGGUGAGGUAACGGCUCACCAAGGCGACGAUCAGUAGCNGGUCUGAGAGGAUGAUCAGCCACAUUGGGACUGAGACACGGCCCAAACUCCUACGGGAGGCAGCAGUGGGGAAUAUUGGACAAUGGGCGCAAGCCUGAUCCAGCCAUGCCGCGUGAGUGAUGAAGGCCCUAGGGUUGUAAAGCUCUUUUGUGCGGGAAG
RNAcentral lists this ribosomal RNA (392 nucleotides) under uncultured bacterium. RNAcentral describes it as "bacterial SSU rRNA". It matches the Rfam family "Bacterial small subunit ribosomal RNA", at positions 29 to 447 of the family's 1533-position model. The record is from RNAcentral.